This 74-nucleotide transfer RNA is filed under the name Nitrososphaerales archaeon. RNAcentral's name for it is "tRNA-Gly". It matches the Rfam family "tRNA". From Rfam's summary of the family: Transfer RNA (tRNA) molecules are approximately 80 nucleotides in length. Their secondary structure includes four short double-helical elements and three loops (D, anti-codon, and T loops). Further hydrogen bonds mediate the characteristic L-shaped molecular structure. tRNAs have two regions of fundamental functional importance: the anti-codon, which is responsible for specific mRNA codon recognition, and the 3' end, to which the tRNAs corresponding amino acid is attached (by aminoacyl-tRNA synthetases). tRNAs cope with the degeneracy of the genetic code in two manners: having more than one tRNA (with a specific anti-codon) for a particular amino acid; and 'wobble' base-pairing, i.e. permitting non-standard base-pairing at the 3rd anti-codon position. The record is from RNAcentral. Lineage: Archaea; Thermoproteati; Nitrososphaerota; Nitrososphaeria; Nitrososphaerales.
GCGGUCGUCGUCCAGUCUGGUUAGGACAUCAGCCCUCCAAGCUGAUAACACGGGUUCAAAUCCCGUCGACCGCA